UUUCCGGUUGAUCCCGCCGGGACUGACUGCUAUCGGAUUGAUACUAAGCCAUGCGAGUCAUUGUAGUAAUACAAGGCAGACGGCUCAGUAACGCGUAGUCAACCUACCCUAUGGACGGGAAUAACCUCGGGAAACUGAGAAUAAUGCCCGAUAGAACACUAUACCUGGAAUGGUUUGUGUUCCAAAUGAUUUAUCGCCAUAGGAUGGGACUGCGGCCUAUCAGUUUGUUGGUGAGGUAAUGGCCCACCAAGACUAUUACAGGUACGGGCUCUGAGAGGAGUGGCCCGGAGAUGGGUACUGAGACACGGACCCAGGCCCUAUGGGGCGCAGCAGGCGAGAAAACUUUGCAAUGUGCGAAAGCACGACAAGGUUAAUCCGAGUGGUUUCUGCUAAAGGAACCUUUUGUCGGUCCUAGAAACACCGAUGAAUAAGGGGUGGGCAAGUUCUGGUGUCAGCCGCCGCGGUAAAACCAGCACCUCAAGUUGUCAGGAUGAUUAUUGGGCCUAAAGCAUCCGUAGCCGGCUCUGUUAGUUUUCGGUUAAAUCUGUACGCUUAACGUACAGGCUGCCGGGAAUACUGCACAGCUAGGGAGUGGGAGAGGUAGACGGUACUCGGUAGGAAGGGGUAAAAUCCUUUGAUCUAUUGAUGACCACCAGUGGCGAAGGCGGUCUACCAGAACACGUCCGACGGUGAGGGAUGAAAGCUGGGGGAGCAAACCGGAUUAGAUACCCGGGUAGUCCCAGCUGUAAACUAUGCAAACUCGGUGAUGCGUUGGCUUGUAGCCAGUGCAGUGCCGCAGGGAAGCCGUUAAGUUUGCCGCCUGGGAAGUACGUACGCAAGUAUGAAACUUAAAGGAAUUGGCGGGGGAGCACCACAAGGGGUGAAGCCUGCGGUUCAAUUGGAUUCAACGCCGGA
This 915-nucleotide ribosomal RNA is filed under the name uncultured archaeon. RNAcentral's name for it is "bacterial SSU rRNA". It matches the Rfam family "Archaeal small subunit ribosomal RNA", at positions 1 to 922 of the family's 1478-position model. The record is from RNAcentral.